ACCGAAGUGGGGAAAGGUUCCAUG
This 24-nucleotide unclassified non-coding RNA is filed under the name Dictyostelium discoideum. Lineage: Eukaryota; Evosea; Eumycetozoa; Dictyosteliales; Dictyosteliaceae. The record is from RNAcentral.